GUUCCUGUUUGCUUUUGUUAGGGACACUGAGCCCCCCUCUUACCGGGAUCAUCUGUCUGCCUGGUGGACAAGCUGCGUCCUGCCCACUGCACCCAAUUCACAUCGAAAUUUACUCAAAUACGACAGUGAAUUUCAGGAGGAAGGAUUGCUGGAAGAGAUCAGUGGGACCCACUGAGUGGGCAGAGAAAAAUAGGUAAGCCUCUCUCCUCCGCUGAGUAGAGCUAUUCAUUAGCGCUCUGAUUUAUACAUCCUUCUGCUUUAAUCUGCAGCCAGGCCAGUGAAGAUGGAUGGGUGACAGUCCCAUCGGUCCCAGCGAUUCAGCACUCAAUCACCACGGA
Molecule: long non-coding RNA, 338 nt
Filed under: Sinocyclocheilus anshuiensis
Lineage: Eukaryota; Metazoa; Chordata; Actinopteri; Cypriniformes; Cyprinidae
Description: lncRNA (ENSSANG00000037994.1)
Source: RNAcentral